ACGGAGGAUCCAAGCGUUAUCCGGAUUUAUUGGGUUUAAAGGGUGCGCAGGCGGGCAUGUAAGUCAGUGGUGAAAGACUGCCGCUUAACGGUAGCAUUGCCAUUGAUACUGCAAGUCUUGAGUACAUUUGAAGUGGGCGGAAUGUGUAGUGUAGCGGUGAAAUGCUUAGAUAUUACACAGAACACCGAUAGCGUAGGCAGCUCACUAAGAUGCAACUGACGCUCAGGCACGAAAGCGUGGGGAUCAAACAG
Molecule: ribosomal RNA, 251 nt
Filed under: uncultured prokaryote
Description: partial 16S rRNA
Rfam family: Bacterial small subunit ribosomal RNA
Source: RNAcentral